UUCAGGAGAUACUCCGGUGCUGCUGGAGCCAUGGGUUUUGGGAGUGCUUACCAUUGACCUGCAUUGUGUCCACCAUGAAGCAGAAGGUGCCGGACAUGAGAGAGGCUGGUGAGAAAGAGCAAAGUACCCACACAGCUGCCUGGCGGGAAGCGAGGAGCCCCAGCGAGAAGGGGGAUUGCAUCUCACAAGCCCUCUUACAUUUUAUUCAAACUACCCAGUCUUGGCUAUUCCCUGCAGACAGAAAAAUGUAGAUGCAGCAUAUGUCUAAGUGAUAUCAUGGUUGCAGUACUCUUCAUCACUCAGAAAGAUUUUUCAGUGCCAGAAGUCUGAGAAGAUGAUGGGACUGAGAUAAGAACAGAAAAUUAUUUUGAUCAGAAAAAAUUAUGAAGAUUUCAGAGCUUACCAAGAAAAUGCAAUUAUUUUCUUGGACCGUGUCCUCUAAACUUCUUCCCACAGGAAAACUUUUGCAGCCUCAACCAACUCCACAAGCAGCAGGUGUCUGUGCAUGUAGAAAAAUCUUAACAUGUGAACAACUUAGCGGAAUGUAGUCUCUGUCUGAAUGCUGGGAACCUUAACAAAGCAGAGCAGCACCCAAUGGGAGAAAAGCACAUGAAGCAUUUUUAUGUGUGCACAUCUAACUGAAACUUUUUAUUUAGUUUUUUAUCUAGGCCAAGCACAAGAGAAGCAAACCUAUGCUACCUGCAGUGUACUAUAUUAGUGUGAUCACUGUGCCGGAAAUGACCGAUUUUUCUUUUACAAUAUUGGUCCUACAAGUUGGCUGCCAAAAAACAUUAAAAUUUUGCCAAAUCUUCUGCCCAAAUUUGUGUAUAAUCUGUGUUUGAUAUAUGUACCAGCUUAGAUUAACACCACUAUAUGCAGUGGUGACUGAAUGUGUUUUUGUAUGUGAUGCCAUACAUAUUAAACAUCUUUGAUAAGUUGUUGUCCUCCGCAUUUAAUAAAGACAUGCAAAUACUGAA
Long non-coding RNA from Tyto alba (common barn owl), 977 nucleotides. RefSeq lists it as uncharacterized. The transcript is spliced from 3 exons. Lineage: Eukaryota; Metazoa; Chordata; Aves; Strigiformes; Tytonidae. The record is from RefSeq and is a predicted model, not a curated record.